CGAUAACGAAUCGCACGAGCGAGGCCUUCUGCCCUCGAGCGAGCAGUCGCACGCACCAGUCGCACACCAGAUCCCUUCGCCGCCGCCCUCCAUCCUUCGCCAUCGCAGAUCCAUCCCGCCGCCGCCGCUCCAUCCCUCUCUUCCCUCCAAGCUUGUCGCCGGCGGCGAAGCGUACGGCGCUCCAUCCCUUCGCCUGCAGGAACCUAUCACGCGCGCCGAGGCGAGGGCCUCGUGGACUCCGUCCGACGCCGCUUGGCCGACGACCCUGCCGCCGGGCAGGAGGAGUGUUCCACGCCGUGAGGAACCCGCCACGCGCGUCAAGGCGAGGCGCCUCCUGGGCUCCGUCCGUUUCCAGAGCGAGCGCCCGCGAAUACCUAGCUAGCCGCCGCCGUCGUGACCGUUCCAGCCACCGCCAAGGUAAGCUAGAUCAAACUCGGCACAGAUGCACAUGCACCGCGCGCCUCACUGAUGUGAGGAUCCAUUUCCUCAAUCCCCUCUUAAUCUCCAACAUCUCCCCCUUCCAGUGUUGGCGUACUUGACCGGAAGUGAGUGCGCGGCAGAGCAAAGCUCAGCCUGGGUCUUCAUCAAUGCAAGACGGGGCAGGAGGGAGCGGGAAGUUUUUCAGCCACAUGAAUGUGGAAGGCGCUUGACAAAUCAGAGAUGUAUGAAGCUUCUGCCGAGAUGUUUGAGAGGGGCAGCAUAGACAUAAGAGGGGUUCAAUAUUGUUAACUCACAUCAUCCAGACCAGUCAUGGUUGUCCUUGACUAUAGUGUACUUAGGAGGAGGAGAUGAACAUGAAGAAUGAGUUCGUAAUGUGGUUGUCGUUGAUUAAUGGCACCCCCAGCAGCGGUGAUAAUGACCAUGGGGAGGAGAGCACGAACAUCAACAACCUCUUGGCCUUGUUGGCUUCUCCGACAUCAAUAACGACGACUAGCUCGCCAUACAGUUGCUAGAGUGCUAAAGAAUGGUCGAGAAGAACAAUGGAUUGUUGAUGGAGCCAAUCAACAAGGACGAUAAGGACGGCCACAACAGUGAGAAUAAGAAGGGGGAGCUCAUCGCCGUCGGCCGCCAGCUCUGCAGGGAGAAGAAGAACGACAAUGCGUUAAUUAUAAAGAAGUCAACAAUGCCACCUGGUGUGCAAAGGGUCCUAAGUUGAGGUGCUUCUGAGUUUAUCAAUCAGGUGAGGCAUGUGGUGCCCUUUCGGAAUGUCGUUUUCUUCUUCCUUGCAUCUCAAAUGCAAGCAACCAUGCUUCUACCGAGGCUUAGAAGAAACGAAGAUGCUGUUGUCAAGAAUUUCACCCCACCCAUUGCAUUGGAUAUCACCUCUGGCUGCAGCAAUAGUGUGUCAAUCUAGCUCACGUGAAUUGAGCUACGCAAUGUCCUAUUAUUACUCUGUUACUCAAAGAGUUGGUAUCCCUAAAUAGUAAGAACAGAGAAGAUUCUUAGUGAGUUAUUACACGUAUUUUAUUCUGAUCUCCUAUAAAAAUCUUUUGUGGUUUAGGCACAACCCAUAUUAUGGUUCUUUUAUACCAAUUAAGUUCACUAUUCGACGAAAUUCCUUUUCACUAAAAUAAGAACCACGUAAUGCUUACAAUUGAUCUGGUCAGCUAGAUAACUAAAUGAGUUAAAAUUAUGCGUACUAACUUUUGACAUAUGUAAUGUGGGGUAGAAGACCAGUGUCUCUUGCUAGGGAUUUCUGGAGGCAACAUCCCUCUGAUUGUAUGCACUUAACUAUUUUGCUUCUGGCUUCCUGCUAUUGUAUUUUACAUUGUCUGCAGAUGCAAAUUCUUUUACGACUAAUCAGUCUCGGAUAAUACUUCAACCCAGACAUCAACGGAGCAAAGAACUUGAUUAAAAGGUUCAAGGAGCUCCGACGCUUUCUAUGACCAAAGAAUUCAUUCAAGCCAGAUUUUCUUUCAAGAUAACAAUAAUGCCUAGGAGCAUCCCUAUCCAUUGAACAAUACCGGAGAGAUAGAGCGCUACUGCCUUACACUUUUCAAUAUCCCUAGCUUUAUUUUCAUUAUUGUGAUAAUUGUGGUAUUUAAAAAUUUAGAAUGCCUUGUGCGAUUAUCUGUGGAUUUUGCAACCCAUGUAAUCUCCUAUUAGACUGGAUAUGAUCAAAAUAAUUCAGCUUUUCAUCAUUGGUUGUCAUCAAGUAGAGCUUAUUUUGUGGAUGGAUGCAUUGGUUUAUGUUUCCAGGCUUUUAGUUUUUCCCUUAUAAUAUUCAGUUGAUUCCCGUGAGGGGUGGCGACCCAUGCUGGACGUGUGAUGAGGGGAGUGUUGUUGAUGCGGUAUGGGAGAUGUCUCGUGGAGAGAGGGGAGGGUGAAAAAGUGAUGGAUCGCAAAUGUUUGGAUGUGCUCGAUCUAACAAUUGACCUGGCGGACAGAUAUCAAGGGUGAUGUUGAGGCCGGCGGCAAAAUAAAUGGCCAAAUGGGGCUCCUCAAUGCAAGUGAGAAGGCUGAUUGAUUCCCGUGGAGCAAUGCAAUGUUGCAUCACAAUGUAUUGGGUUCCAUUUUUGGGCAGAGAAGAAGUGAUUAAG
Triticum urartu is the source of this 2540-nucleotide non-coding RNA. Lineage: Eukaryota; Viridiplantae; Streptophyta; Magnoliopsida; Poales; Poaceae. The record is from RefSeq and is a predicted model, not a curated record.